AACGAACGCUGGCGGCAGGCCUAACACAUGCAAGUCGAGCGCCCUUUCGGGGGAGCGGCGGACGGGUGAGUAACGCGUGGGAAUAUGCCCUUCUCUACGGAAUAGCCUCGGGAAACUGAGAGUAAUACCGUAUACGCCCUGUGGGGGAAAGAUUUAUCGGGGAAGGAUUAGCCCGUGUUGGAUUAGGUAGUUGGUGGGGUAAUGGCCUACCAAGCCGACGAUCCAUAGCUGGUUUGAGAGGAUGAUCAGCCACACUGGGACUGAGACACGGCCCAGACUCCUACGGGAAGCAGCAGUGGGGAAUCUUAGACAAUGGGGGCAACCCUGAUCUAGCCAUGCCGCGUGAGUGAUGAAGGCCUUAGGGUUGUAAAGCUCUUUCAGCUGGGAAGAUAAUGACGGUACCAGCAGAAGAAGCCCCGGCUAACUCCGUG
Molecule: ribosomal RNA, 431 nt
Filed under: uncultured bacterium
Lineage: Bacteria
Description: partial 16S ribosomal RNA
Rfam family: Bacterial small subunit ribosomal RNA
Source: RNAcentral